RNAcentral lists this ribosomal RNA (435 nucleotides) under uncultured fungus. Its description in RNAcentral is "eukaryotic LSU rRNA". It matches the Rfam family "Eukaryotic large subunit ribosomal RNA", at positions 1 to 432 of the family's 3401-position model. The record is from RNAcentral. Lineage: Eukaryota; Fungi.
GAUCUCAAAUCAAGUAAGACUACCCGCUGAACUUAAGCAUAUCAAUAAGCGGAGGAAAAGAAACUAACAAGGAUUCCCCUAGUAACGGCGAGUGAAGCGGGAUGAGCUCAAAUUUAAAAUCUGGCUGGUUUACUAGUCCGAGUUGUAGUUUAAAGAAGCGUUUUCGGUGGCAGUCUCGGUAAAAGUCCUUUGGAAUAGGGCAUCACAGAGGGUGAGAAUCCCGUCUUUGACUGAGAAUAUGCUACUAUGUGAUACGUUUUCAAAGAGUCGAGUUGUUUGGGAAUGCAGCUCAAAAUGGGUGGUAAAUUUCAUCUAAAGCUAAAUAUUGGCGAGAGACCGAUAGCGAACAAGUACCGUGAGGGAAAGAUGAAAAGAACUUUGAAAAGAGAGUUAAACAGUGCGUGAAAUUGUUGAAAGGGAAACGCUUGAAACCAG